Molecule: long non-coding RNA, 818 nt
Organism: Setaria italica (foxtail millet)
Lineage: Eukaryota; Viridiplantae; Streptophyta; Magnoliopsida; Poales; Poaceae
Exons: 4
Source: RefSeq, a predicted model, not a curated record
GCCCCCGCAACACCCGCGAGGCCUCGAUGUCAUCGUCCAGGAGGGCGCGCUCUGAUCCUCCUCCGCCGGGCCCCGAUCCGAUUAAAGAGAACCGUCGACAGCGAGACGAAGCGGCUCCUCGACUCCCCCGUCUUCCUUCCCCAAACUUCUUCGCCUGUUCGUCUGCGCAUUCGAUUCGAUCUGUCUAGCGCGGCCUCAUCAAGACAUUCCAAUCCAAGGAUGGUCGGCAAGAGAGGACCAGAUCGAGGGCGAGGGAUCAAGCUCGAAUCAAGCGCGGAUGUCUUCGUCUUCCAGGCCGUGAAGUUGUUGACCCAGUUAUUAUCGUGUACUCGGUUGAGGAUGUAGUCCACGAAGGUGUCCCGGCCCUGCUGUGCUACUUAGUGGUAAUCAAGCUGUUUCUCACCCGGUGGUGGCUGCGAAUGAGGACCAUGUUUCAUCGAACGACGAGUUGUUUGAUCGGAGGAUAUCGAUGAAGCAAAGAGAUUGCACUAAGAAACUUUUGAAAAAGAAAUCUGAUCCGCUAUACAUUCAUGACAAAGAUUUGGAUGUGCUAUUGGUGCCGAAUCAAGACAACGGUCCUUUGGAUAUCGUACCUAAUUUUAUUUUGUUUGUUUAAUUCAGUAACUACAAUCUUGGAUUAAAUACUUAUUUCAUAUUUAUGCUUGUUUUCAUAUUUAUUGCCAUGUUGAAUCAUGUGUAUUGCAAUAUAAAUGUUUUACGAUCCUAGUUUUGGGAUAAAGUUUAAGUUAGAACUUGGGGUCUCUGUAUUUAGAGAUCGAGGGAGUGUAUUACAUGAAAUUACAACUAUAGAGAAAGGU